This is a long non-coding RNA of Apis cerana (Asiatic honeybee), 4315 nucleotides long. RefSeq lists it as uncharacterized. The record is from RefSeq and is a predicted model, not a curated record. NCBI's taxonomy places the organism in Eukaryota, Metazoa, Arthropoda, Insecta, Hymenoptera, Apidae.
GAAUGCAUUCAUUAGUGACAAAAGUAUACAAUUAUAUAAAAUUUGUAUUAAUAGGAUAUUGUGUUAUAGUUAUUAAGUUUAAUUAUAAUUUAUUAAGAUUAUUAAACUUUAUUUAAUCAAUAUACGUUUGUUUAAUUAUUAUUAUACAAAAAUUGAAUAUUUUUAUGACAGAUUAUCGUUUGAUUGGAGGUUUGAAAGCGGAAUAAAUUUUAAAAGUAUAAAUUUUGCACAUACAAUGAUAAUUGAGAGAUAAUGCAACAACAUUCGUGCAGAUAUGUCACGUUGUUUCUCAUUUCUGUACUUUUGCACUUCUUCAUUUUACAUAAUUUAAAAAAUUGCUUUCUAAACUUACUGCUCAUUAAAUUAUAUAAUAUAGGAUCAAUAGCACUAUCUGGAGAAAUAACAAUAUAAAAGAUCAGAAUCCUAUAAGGUGAUAAACAGAUGAAGAAGCUAAUAACUACCGUUAAUAACAUAAUAAUUACAUGUUUUUUCGUUUUAAUAUGAUAAGAAUCGCUGAUAUUAUUGGAAUCGGGCAUCAAUUGUCUGAUGAUGAAUGUGUAUAAAAUCAACAAGAUUAUUAAUGGUGCAAGAUAGAACAGAAGCACCAAAAGUAAAAAGAAUAUCAUGCUGGCGUUAGUAUCGACCGUUGUUAGACAAACCGGAACCAAAUUCCUUGCGUCGUGAUCCUUCCUGUUUUCCUUAAUGCGCAUCUCCUGGUAUUGAGAAACCCAGAUUAUAGGACUGUAAUCAAUUAAAGUAAAAUUGUCUCGUAACUGAUAAAAUUAAAAGUAAUUUUCGAUGCCUUCAAGCCGAAAAUCAGAAGUCGAACAAAAAAAUGGCAAUUUGCAGAGUAAGCAAUUUUUAGCCCCUAAACCGACUGAAUUUGCAAAAAAAAAUUUGCCUUGUAAGCUCGAUGAAGAUUCUAAUUCUUAUUGAAAUUCUAUUAUGAAUAAGAUAUGCAUAUAUAUAUAUGUAGCCUCUUAUAAAAAGCUUCUUUUUUCAUAGAAAAAAACUUAUCGUUUUUGAUAUCAUAACAUAUGGUACUCAAUUCAAUGUUGAAUAAUAUUGAAGAUCAAUAAUUUAAAUUAAAGAAUAUAAUCAGAAUAAGAAGAUGAAAAAUAUUUGAAGUAAUUUAUCUACUAAUGAUUUGAUUACAAAAAUAAAAGAACAUUUCAGAGCAAAUUUCAACUUAAUUUCAAUUGGAAAAAGAAUUAUAAUAAAAAUUCCGAAAAAAUUCUUAUUAUAAAUUCAAUAAUGUGUGAAAUUUUAUAAAAAUUAAGAAACUUUUUUCAUUGUAAAUUCUAGAUUUAAAAAUAUAUAAACUGAAUAAAAAAAAUAAAAAGUUAAAGAUUCUUUUUUUGCACAAAAGAAUUCAUUAUUUUGAACUAUGAUAUGAUGUAUUAUGAAAAAAAUUUGAAAAAAUAUUAUUUUUAAUUAAAGAAUAAUAUUUAUGCCAAUGCAUUAAUAUUAUAAAAAUAGAAAACACUUGAGAGUUUUAAUGCAUUUUCAUUCUAAAAAACAUUUAAAAACUUUUCCAAAUUUUUUAUUCAGAAUAAAAAAUAAAAAGUCUAUUUUGUAUUUCUUUUAUAUGCUUAAACAAUUCAAAGUGGAAUUGAAUGCAAUAUUGUCUCAUCGAACUUUCUACAUUUUUGUUUAGACAAACAAAAAUAAUAAUCAAAGUUAAUUAAAAAUUAUUUAUUCCUUUCGUAAUCUCUGAAUUGAAAUUAUUGAAUUGAUGUCUUGCAUCUAUAACACAUUGCAGAAUUCAUUUUUGAAUUGUGGAGUAACAAAUUAUAUUGCGAUAAUAAAGAUUAAUACAAAUAACGAUCAAUGAGAAUUUUAUUGUUAGAGAGAAAUUGGGUCAACGAUUGCAAUAAAUUUCUUCAUUACAUACUAUACAUAGAAGAUACUUCAGCAUAAAAAUGAAACGUAUUUGAGAAUUCAAGAAACUAAGUAUGUAAUUCUUGCAAAGAGAUCUUAUAGAUCUGAUAGAGAGGAUUUCUGGAUGAUUGAUCAAUAGUACCGUGUUGCAGAACCGUAUUCGAAUAAUUGGAAUUUCAUUCAAGAAGUUUUCUUCUCUAGAAGUUACAUCUUGCUGACAUUUAUCUUGCUUUCGUGUCUUGAUAAAUUAGAAGGUUUUAUAUAUCGCGAUGUUGAGUAUUUGAGUUGCGAAAAUGUUAGAUCAAGAGGAAAUUAAAAAAUAGCGAAGAACGAAAAGAUAAGAAGAAAAAAAAAUCGAGAAGCAAACGAAAGCAUAAUAUGCGUCAGCUGUGAGAAAUGCUAAUCAUUCGUUUCAUUCUCUUACCUGGUGCAAAGCGCUGCCACAAUCCACGCCACGAAACAAAGAAAUGUCGCUCUAGCCUUUGUGCACAUAUAUCUCUGAUAGAGACUUUCAACAUUAGACCGAUUGAAAUCGUCUACAAGAAAAUUACUGGAUUUGAAAGGAAAGUCGACACGUCUCAUAAGGAAGUGUUGCAGAGCAAGUUUCACCAAGAGGAUCCUGUUAGAGGUAGAGGCGCCUUUUCCAUUCUAUUUCCUGCCACGAAGGUUAAAGAGAAUUGGAUAGAAAGCGACAGUACAAGAAGGUGUAGCAUUAAAUGCCUCAGCCUCUAAGAGCAACGGUAAUUCUUGGCGGGGGGUAGGAGUUCAGCUGCUCGUUUCACCCAGCCAUCAACCUUGUCCACCGCAUCGUACUUGGGCCAAAUAUGUACUCUCCACCUUGCCCUAGCCUCGUCCACAGAAGUUCUCAAAGCCUUCUCUCGAAACGAAUAAAACGAACUGAUUGGACGACGCUUAUUUAAUUAAGGAUUCCAGCUUAGAAUUUGUUCUUACGAUUUAUCUUUAGGAUUGAUCUCCUUGCAACCGUCAGUUGGCGCUACUUGUCAACUGGAGAGGAACGUGAAGUUAGUCACAUUUACACUUUGAAUGAUAAUUUCAUAGAAAGCUAGAGAAUCCAAAUUAUUAAGUUUUCAAUUAUUUCAUAUUAUGAAAUAAGCAAUAAUUGUAGGAAUAUUAACUUAAAUGGAGAUUAUCUCGAGAUAAUUUCAAGCAACUUUCUUUUUGAAAUAUCUUCAUUUCAGCUUUGCUAAUAAUAUAAAAUAACAAUAUAAUAAACAUAAAGGAAAUAAAACAAUAUAUUUUACAAAAUUUAAAUUAUUCUUUGUUACUGAAUUAUGAUAUCGGUAUAAUAUAGAAAUAAUUAAAUUAUGCACGAAUUUAAACGAAUUUUCUUAACAUUUUCACUGCAAGUGAAAUUAGAAUUAUUAGUCAAAAGCAUAGACAUGGUACUUCCUUUCUGUUAAUGGAAUAAUUAUUUCAAGAAAAGAUACUGUGUGGAAAUAAGAAAAUUUUGAAGACCAAUGAAUCGUCAAACGAAAUUAUGAUCUGAAUAUCGUCCAUCGUCAUUGAAACAUUUAAUAUAUUUUUUUAAAUGAUUGCAAAGCUGAUUAUAUUGUUUGUUCUGAUUGAAUAUCUAUUUUAUCGUGAAUUUAUAUACUAAUUCUCUAUAAAUUCCACAAAUAAUACCAAUUGUUGAUCGAAAUGAAAUUUCAUGGGGACAAAGAAUGGAUGCGAAAUAUAAAAUCAUAUUUUUAACGAAAAUAUGAUUUCUACUUUAUAUGUUCAAAAUGUAUAAAUUUUCAUAUAUAACAAAUGUUCAUUAUCAAACUCUUUAGCAAUUAAUGAUGUUAUAACAAUGUAAACAAUAUAAACAAUAACAAAAAUUAUUAAUCAAUUAGUAACACAGAAAAUUAAUCAACGAUUCCAUGAAUAUUAUGAGUUUAUAGAUACAAAACAUGAUUAGACAUAUAUUAAUUGUAUUUAAUAAUCAAUAUUAGUAUCUUUUCAAUAGAUAUGAAUUGUUUAAUGAUACUCUAUGACAUCUAUUUACAAAGAUACUGUAUAAUUUCAAAACUAUAUUGGAUUUUCGUUUCUAUUUUUGUUCAGGAACGAUAGUUCUUGAGAACUUGAAACACAAUAACGAGGACAGAAUUUUUCUACCCUCUUUAAUCUUUAUACAAAUAUUUUUUCUCGAGUAUAAGAUUUUCUUAUAUUCACAAUAUUUCUUUUAAAAUAACGAAAUUGUAUACUUUAAUUAAUAAAGAAAAAAAUUUUUUUUUUUCUUUUUCACUUUUGAAUUGAUUUCCGCUUCAAAAUUCUGAUAAAAUCAAUGAUAAAUAUUUUGAUUAUAUCUUCUAAUGAUCAAUAAUAUCUAUAAUAAUUUCAAGAACUUGUGGAAGUUAAAGAAUAUUUCUCUUCUUUUGUAUAUAUUAUUAAAUUAAAUUAAAUUAAAUUUAAAAAAUUAAGUAUAAUUUAA